GACGAACGCUGGCGGCGUGCUUAACACAUGCAAGUCGAACGGAAAGGCCCUGCUUUUGUGGGGUGCUCGAGUGGCGAACGGGUGAGUAACACGUGAGUAACCUGCCCUUGACUUUGGGAUAACUUCAGGAAACUGGGGCUAAUACCGGAUAGGAGCUCCUGCUGCAUGGUGGGGGUUGGAAAGUUUCGGCGGUUGGGGAUGGACUCGCGGCUUAUCAGCUCGUUGGUGGGGUAGUGGCCUACCAAGGCUUUGACGGGUAGCCGGCCUGAGAGGGUGACCGGCCACAUUGGGACUGAGAUACGGCCCAGACUCCUACGGGAGGCAGCAGUGGGGAAUAUUGCACAAUGGGCGGAAGCCUGAUGCAGCAACGCCGCGUGCGGGAUGACGGCCUUCGGGUUGUAAACCGCUUUCGCCUGUGACGAAGCGUGAGUGACGGUAAUGGGUAAAGAAGCACCGGCUAACUACGUGCCAGCAGCCGCGGUGAUACGUAGGGUGCGAGCGUUGUCCGGAUUUAUUGGGCGUAAAGGGCUCGUAGGUGGUUGAUCGCGUCGGAAGUGUAGUCUUGGGGCUUAACCCUGAGCGUGCUUUCGAUACGGGUUGACUUGAGGAAGGUAGGGGAGAAUGGAAUUCCUGGUGGAGCGGUGGAAUGCGCAGAUAUCAGGAGGAACACCAGUGGCGAAGGCGGUUCUCUGGGCCUUUCCUGACGCUGAGGAGCGAAAGCGUGGGGAGCGAACAGGCUUAGAUACCCUGGUAGUCCACGCUGUAAACGGUGGGUACUAGGUGUGGGGUCCAUUCCACGGGUUCCGUGCCGUAGCUAACGCUUUAAGUACCCCGCCUGGGGAGUACGGCCGCAAGGCUAAAACUCAAAGGAAUUGACGGGGCCCCGCACAAGCGGCGGAGCAUGCGGAUUAAUUCGAUGCAACGCGUAGAACCUUACCUGGGUUUGACAUGGAUCGGGAGUGCUCAGAGAUGGGUGUGCCUCUUUUGGGGUCGGUUCACAGGUGGUGCAUGGCUGUCGUCAGCUCGUGUCGUGAGAUGUUGGGUUAAGUCCCGCAACGAGCGCAACCCUUGUUCACUGUUGCCAGCACGUUAUGGUGGGGACUCAGUGGAGACCGCCGGGGUCAACUCGGAGGAAGGUGGGGAUGACGUCAAGUCAUCAUGCCCCUUAUGUCCAGGGCUUCACGCAUGCUACAAUGGCUGGUACAGAGAGUGGCGAGCCUGUGAGGGUGAGCGAAUCUCGGAAAGCCGGUCUCAGUUCGGAUUGGGGUCUGCAACUCGACCUCAUGAAGUCGGAGUCGCUAGUAAUCGCAGAUCAGCAACGCUGCGGUGAAUACGUUCCCGGGGCU
Molecule: ribosomal RNA, 1346 nt
Filed under: uncultured bacterium
Lineage: Bacteria
Description: partial 16S ribosomal RNA
Rfam family: Bacterial small subunit ribosomal RNA
Source: RNAcentral